This 981-nucleotide long non-coding RNA is filed under the name Nothobranchius furzeri (turquoise killifish). RNAcentral's name for it is "lncRNA (ENSNFUG00015019021.1)". Lineage: Eukaryota; Metazoa; Chordata; Actinopteri; Cyprinodontiformes; Nothobranchiidae. The record is from RNAcentral.
UCUGACCCCGUCUUCAGAGCUGAGCAGCAACGGAACCAAGCUCUUCAAAAUGCAGAGAAGCUCAAAGAAGCUUUCAAAGAUCAUAAAGCUACUGUUUCUGCUCGACUCCAGCAGGUGACAGAGAGUGAAAACAAGCUGAAGCAGAGCCUCGCUGAGUGUGAGCUGCAGCUGCAGACCCUGGAAAGGGAGCGAGCAGAACAGCGCCAGACCAUCAGCCGGCUGCAGGAGGAGGUGCAUCAAGUCAGAGCAACAGCGGCUGACCUCCAAGUCCGAUCUGAUGAAGCUGAGGAGAGGGCCUCCCAGCUGCAGCUGCAGCUGCAGACGCGAGGAGCAGAGUGCAGGGAGCUGGAAGAGCUGCGCAUUUUAACCCGCAACCAGGAGCAGAAGGUGGUCCAGAACCUCAGAGAGGCUCACCAGAGCCAGACGGAGCUGGCCAACCUGGAGGCCAUAGUAGCCUUGCUGCACCUUCGACAGGGUCCUGAGGGCCCUCUGUGCACCAACCCAUGCAUGCUGCCCCCUGUGGAGCACUCUGGAGCUGCACAUCUGCUGCACCUGAAACCAGGCGAAGGCUACCAGCAGCUGCUGCGAGUGCUGCAGCUAAAGGAAGCUGAGAGCAGGAAGCAGAUCAGCCUGAACAAGCAGCUGCAGGAGCGUCUGAGCAGAGCGCAGGAGGAGAUCUUCUCCCUGCAGAACUCCAUGAGCCAGAGAGCCUCUCACUACCAGAACCUCCACACUGAGCUGCUGGGCAAAGUCAGCCAAGCCACCGACACAGAGAAGGAGUUAAAGAGGAAGAGUGCACGAGUAGCUGCUCUGGAGAAACAGCUGCAGGAGAAGUCCUCUGCUUAUAGUCUGGCUGCACUGAAGAACACAGAGCUGGAAGGUCAGCUACAGGUAGGCUACACACACACACACACACACACACACACACACCACACACACACACACACACACCUGCACACAUACACGCACGUACGCGCGCAC